CCAAUAGCGUAUAUUAAAGUUGUUGUGGUUAAAAAGCUCGUAGUUGAACCUUGGGCCUGGCUGGCCGGUCCGCCUCACCGCGUGUACUGGUCCGGCCGGGCCUUUCCCUCUGUGGAACCCCAUGCCCUUCACUGGGUGUGGCGGGGAAACAGGACUUUUACUGUGAAAAAAUUAGAGUGCUCCAGGCAGGCCUAUGCUCGAAUACAUUAGCAUGGAAUAAUAGAAUAGGACGUGUGGUUCUAUUUUGUUGGUUUCUAGGACCGCCGUAAUGAUUAAUAGGGACAGUCGGGGGCAUCAGUAUUCAAUUGUCAGAGGUGAAAUUCUUGGAUUUAUUGAAGACUAACUACUGCGAAAGCAUUUGCCAAGGAUGUUUUCAUUAAUCAGGAACGAAAGUUAGGGGAUCGAAGACGAUCAGAUACCGUCGUAGUCUUAACCAUAAACUAUGCCGACUAGGGAUCGGACGGUGUUAUUUUUGACCCGUUCGGCACCUUACG
Molecule: unclassified non-coding RNA, 494 nt
Filed under: uncultured Glomeromycotina
Lineage: Eukaryota; Fungi; Glomeromycota
Description: SSU rRNA
Rfam family: Eukaryotic small subunit ribosomal RNA
Source: RNAcentral